UCACACUCAUGCGCUACAGGCCUCCCUUUCCUACUCCCUAAUUUUCAAAAUACACACACUCCACCCUUCCAUGCCUACCUUCUCUGUUAGCACCCAACACACUCUCUAUCCCUGCCUUCACUCCUCCUUGUACCUCCACUCACAACCACACAUAAUUUCUUCUCUCACACGAACCUCACUCACUCACCGAACUCCUCAUUCUCUCUCCUCUCGCGGCCUCCUCCAUAUACCUCCACUCACAAUCACACAGAAUUUCCUCUCUCUCACGGAUCUCACUCACUCACCGAACUCCCCAUUCUCUCUCAUCCCACGGCCUCCUCCAUGUUCCUCCACUCACAAUCACAGAAUUUCCUCUCUCUCACGAACCUCACUCACUCACUAAACUCCUCAUUCUCUCUUCUCCUGCGGCCUUCAUGUACCUCCACUUGCAAUCACACAGAAAUUUUCUCUCUCUCACGGACCUCACUCACUCAUCUAACUCUUCAUUCUCUCUCAUCCUGCGGCCUCCUCCAUGUACAUCCCUUCACACUUCUACAAUUCCACCGACUAUCUCCACCCGCCUAUUCCCUGAACUACAGUUUUUCUACUCCAUAUGCUAAGCGAUGACUAUAUCUUCCCAAACCUACGGUCACAAUUUCAAAUUUAUACUAAACCUACUCAUGAAACUUAAGAUUUACCGUACCUCCCAUCUCCAUCUCUCUUUCUGCACUCUCGUGGCUCGCAUCGUCAUUGUCCUCCUUCUCCUUCUCUCUCUCUUCUCGUUCCUCCCCGCUCCAGCUCCUCUCUCUCUCUCUCUCUCUCACCUUCUCCUCCUUCGACUCCUCUUAUCUGUUUUUUUUCUUUUCUUUC
RNAcentral lists this long non-coding RNA (849 nucleotides) under Carica papaya (papaya). RNAcentral's name for it is "long non-coding RNA (CPAP_LNC006690)". Lineage: Eukaryota; Viridiplantae; Streptophyta; Magnoliopsida; Brassicales; Caricaceae. The record is from RNAcentral.